This 1434-nucleotide ribosomal RNA is filed under the name uncultured bacterium. RNAcentral's name for it is "bacterial SSU rRNA". It matches the Rfam family "Bacterial small subunit ribosomal RNA". The record is from RNAcentral.
AGAGUUUGAUCCUGGCUCAGGAUGAACGCCGGCGGUGUGCCUAAUACAUGCAAGUCGUACGCACUGGCCCAACUGAUUGAUGGUGCUUGCACCUGAUUGACGUUGGAUCACCAGUGAGUGGCGGACGGGUGAGUAACACGUAGGUAACCUGCCCCGGAGCGGGGGAUAACAUUUGGAAACAGAUGCUAAUACCGCAUAACAACAAAAGCCACAUGGCUUUUGUCUGAAAGAUGGCUUUGGCUAUCACUCUGGGAUGGACCUGCGGUGCAUUAGCUAGUUGGUAAGGUAACGGCUUACCAAGGCGAUGAUGCAUAGCCGAGUUGAGAGACUGAUCGGCCACAAUGGAACUGAGACACGGUCCAUACUCCUACGGGAGGCAGCAGUAGGGAAUCUUCCACAAUGGGCGCAAGCCUGAUGGAGCAACACCGCGUGAGUGAAGAAGGGUUUCGGCUCGUAAAGCUCUGUUGUUGGAGAAGAACGUGCGUGAGAGUAACUGUUCACGCAGUGACGGUAUCCAACCAGAAAGUCACGGCUAACUACGUGCCAGCAGCCGCGGUAAUACGUAGGUGGCAAGCGUUAUCCGGAUUUAUUGGGCGUAAAGCGAGCGCAGGCGGUUGCUUAGGUCUGAUGUGAAAGCCUUCGGCUUAACCGAAGAAGUGCAUCGGAAACCGGGCGACUUGAGUGCAGAAGAGGACAGUGGAACUCCAUGUGUAGCGGUGGAAUGCGUAGAUAUAUGGAAGAACACCAGUGGCGAAGGCGGCUGUCUGGUCUGCAACUGACGCUGAGGCUCGAAAGCAUGGGUAGCGAACAGGAUUAGAUACCCUGGUAGUCCAUGCCGUAAACGAUGAGUGCUAGGUGUUGGAGGGUUUCCGCCCUUCAGUGCCGGAGCUAACGCAUUAAGCACUCCGCCUGGGGAGUACGACCGCAAGGUUGAAACUCAAAGGAAUUGACGGGGGCCCGCACAAGCGGUGGAGCAUGUGGUUUAAUUCGAAGCAACGCGAAGAACCUUACCAGGUCUUGACAUCCAGUGCAAACCUAAGAGAUUAGGUGUUCCCUUCGGGGACGCUGAGACAGGUGGUGCAUGGCUGUCGUCAGCUCGUGUCGUGAGAUGUUGGGUUAAGUCCCGCAACGAGCGCAACCCUUGUCAUUAGUUGCCAUCAUUAAGUUGGGCACUCUAAUGAGACUGCCGGUGACAAACCGGAGGAAGGUGGGGAUGACGUCAAGUCAUCAUGCCCCUUAUGACCUGGGCUACACACGUGCUACAAUGGACGGUACAACGAGAAGCGAACCUGCGAAGGCAAGCGGAUCUCUUAAAGCUGUUCUCAGUUCGGACUGUAGGCUGCAACUCGCCUACACGAAGCUGGAAUCGCUAGUAAUCGCGGAUCAGCACGCCGCGGUGAAUACGUUCCCGGGCCUUGUACACACCGCCCGUCA